CCUAGGCCUUCAGUGUGGAACAACGUCUGGAAACGGGCGCAAUACCGCAUGACGCAGUGGAAUCGCAUGGUUCUGCUGUCAAAGGAGCAAUCCGCUGAAGGAUGGGCUCGCGUCCGAUUAGCUAGAUGGUGAGGUAACGGCUCACCAUGGCGAUGAUCGGUAGCCGAACUGAGAGGUUGAUCGGCCGCAUUGGGACUGAGACACGGCCCAG
Molecule: ribosomal RNA, 211 nt
Filed under: uncultured bacterium
Lineage: Bacteria
Description: partial 16S ribosomal RNA
Rfam family: Bacterial small subunit ribosomal RNA
Source: RNAcentral